RNAcentral lists this ribosomal RNA (305 nucleotides) under uncultured bacterium. RNAcentral describes it as "bacterial SSU rRNA". It matches the Rfam family "Bacterial small subunit ribosomal RNA", at positions 335 to 632 of the family's 1533-position model. The record is from RNAcentral.
UUGCCUACGGGAGGCAGCAGUAGGGAAUUUUCGUCAAUGGGCGCAAGCCUGAACGAGCGAUGCCGCGUGAGUGAAGAAGGCCUUCGGGUCGUAAAGCUCUGUUGCGGGGGAAAAAAGGCAGCAUCAGGAAAUGGGUGCUGACUGAUGGUGCCCCGCCAGAAAGUCACGGCUAACUGCGUGCCAGCAGCCGCGGUAAUACGUAGGUGGCGAGCGUUAUCCGUAGUGAUUGGGCGUAAAGGGUGCGCAGGCGGUCCUGCAAGUCUGGAGUGAAACGCACGAGCUCAACUCAUGCACGGCUCUGGAAA